This 497-nucleotide ribosomal RNA is filed under the name uncultured bacterium. RNAcentral's name for it is "partial 16S ribosomal RNA". It matches the Rfam family "Bacterial small subunit ribosomal RNA", at positions 28 to 507 of the family's 1533-position model. The record is from RNAcentral.
GAUGAACGCUGGCGGCGUGCCUAAUACAUGCCAGUCGAGCGAACAGAUGAGGAGCUUGCUCCUCUGACGUUAGCGGCGGACGGGUGAGUAACACGUGGAUAACCUACCUAUAAGACUGGGAUAACUUCGGGAAACCGGCGCUAAUACCGGAUAAUAUAUUGAACCGCAUGGUUCAAUAGUGAAAGACGGUUUUGCUGUCACUUAUAGCUGGUUCUGGGCCGCAUUAGCUAGUUGGUAAGGUAACGGCUUACCAAGGCAACGAUGCGUAGCCGACCUGAGAGACGGAUAGGCGACCUGAGAGGGUGACCGGGGUCAAUGGUACUGCGGGACGGAGCAGAAGGGAAUGUUACGCAGUGGGCGAGAGCCUGGCGGAGCAAGCGGGCGUGAGUGAUGAAGGUCUUCGGAGCGUGAAAAUCUGUUAUUAGGGAAAAACAGAUGUGUAAGUAACUAUGCACUUCUUGACGGUAACUAAUAAGAAAGCCACGGCUAACUACGUG